GUUAUGAAAAUAUACCAUUUGUCUAGUUGGAAUGGCCAUGGCCAUUUCAUCAAUUUUCAUUCUGGAAAAAGAAAUAAUCGUUUUAAGAAUAAAACAAAUAAAAGGCAGUGGAUAGCCUAGAAUGUUCCUAGAUCUGUGGGCGGUCAUAGUCCUGCGGUUAAUAGACGUGAUUUGAGCUCUAUCGCCGAGAACACGCUCGUCCUGUCACCUGGCCCAGCAUUCCUCGCUGAGAUUACUUCAAACACCUGCAUGUGCAACUUACUGAGAGGAAAUCUAAAUUCCACUUAAGAUAAAAUACAAGUAUGUUCACUACACUUUCUUAUCCCUAUUAAGAAACGUAUAUCAUCUAUAUUAAUAAAUGCCCAAAUGUAUGUACGCGCAUUUUUCGGAACAAUUGUAGCGCAUCGUAUGAUUAUUUUUCUGUUUGUGUAAAAGAAAAUUAAAAGAAAACAUA
RNAcentral lists this unclassified non-coding RNA (454 nucleotides) under Melitaea cinxia (Glanville fritillary). RNAcentral's name for it is "misc RNA ENSMCXG00005000422.1". Lineage: Eukaryota; Metazoa; Arthropoda; Insecta; Lepidoptera; Nymphalidae. The record is from RNAcentral.